Molecule: long non-coding RNA, 101 nt
Organism: Sapajus apella (tufted capuchin)
Lineage: Eukaryota; Metazoa; Chordata; Mammalia; Primates; Cebidae
Exons: 3
Source: RefSeq, a predicted model, not a curated record
UCCAUCAAAAAAGACAAAAUAGGGCUGGGUGUGGUGGCUCACACCUGUAAUCCCAGCACUUUGGGAGGCCGAGGCAGGAGGAUCACUUGAGCCCAGGAGUU